UACGUAGGUGGCUAGCGUUGUCCGGAUUUACUGGGCGUAAAGAGCGCGCAGGCGGUCGUUCAAGUCGAGUGUGAAAGCCCCCGGCUCAACUGGGGAGGGUCACUCGAUACUGAUCGACUCGAAGGCAGGAGAGGGAAGCGGAAUUCCCGGUGUAGUGGUGAAAUGCGUAGAUAUCGGGAGGAACACCAGUGGCGAAGGCGGCUUUCUGGCCUGUUCUUGACGCUGAGGCGCGAAAGCGUGGGGAGCAAACAGG
Molecule: ribosomal RNA, 253 nt
Filed under: uncultured bacterium
Lineage: Bacteria
Description: partial 16S ribosomal RNA
Rfam family: Bacterial small subunit ribosomal RNA
Source: RNAcentral